This is a non-coding RNA of Pungitius pungitius (ninespine stickleback), 831 nucleotides long. The record is from the annotation of a RefSeq genome assembly. NCBI's taxonomy places the organism in Eukaryota, Metazoa, Chordata, Actinopteri, Perciformes, Gasterosteidae.
AUGACGCAGCAACUGGGCUACUAAUAUAUCUUGAAAACAUUCAGAGGAAAACGCAGUGGAUGAAGUGUUAAUAAGUGUUAAAACAUAAUGGAAAAUAUGAUUUCCUGGAGUUUGUUCUUCAUAGUUACUAUUAAUGGAGUUUGGAGUGAGAUCAAACAUGAACAGUCUCCCUCCGAGGUGAAAAAACCUGAAGAGAAAGUGAAGAUGUCAUGUAUCAUAUCAGGUUAUGACAUGACAGACUACUUCAUUCACUGGAUACGACAGAGGCCAGGAAACGCUCUGGAGUGGAUUGGGUGGAUGAACGCAGGGAACAACGCUCCUACUUUUAGCAGCUCCUUUCAAAGCCGCUUCAUCAUGACUGAAGAUGUGCCCAAGAGCACUCAGUACCUGGAGGUCACGAGCCUGACAGCAGAAGACUCAGCUGUUUACUUCUGUGCUCGAGACACAGUGACUGAAGGCAGUGGAGCAGCUGAACAAAAACAUCCACAGACAACAAACAGCAACGUUGACUUGAGGAGAUUUGGGUUUUCUCACCAACUGCAACAGUACUUUAAUAUAUUUAAUAUCUUCAUGAUGUUUCAUCACUCACAGUUAUAUAAAGUGUUCUUUCACUUGUAAACAUGUGAAUUAAUUCUAAAUGACUAAUGACAUAAACGAUUAAUUAUAUGAAAAUAAGUUUCCAAGUGGCUCUCUGGUUGGUUGGAUCAGGGUAUAUUUAUGUUUGUAAUACUAUGGAGCUACUCUUAUCAAUACCAUGUUGUAAUGAAUGCUUUUAAAAGCACAUGAAGAAUAAACAAAUUAAUUCUAAACAUAAUAGGAAUUCAUUAAAAA